UACCAACCCCCUGUGACCCGUUCCGGCCCAAUUCCCUUAACUCUUAACUUCUUUUUCUUCAAACCAAGGGAAGAAACAUAGUAGUAGUACUACGACAACACCAACCAAACGUACAACCUUAUCAAUAAUUCAACAACCUGAAAUAUCGAUAAUCCCAAUAAUUUAAACGUUGAUAGCUUUCAGCAUUAAUGUUUUCACCCAUAAACGAUGAUGAUAACCCAUCCACAACCUCAGCCAGCAACCAAAUCACCCCCAAAAACCCAUAUUCCGUGAAACCAGAACCCAUUGACCCAUUUUUAGCCAAGGAAAAAACCAAACGCACUCUUUCCCUUUCAGUUCGCAUGGAUAGCGUGACCUCCACGUGAGUUCAUUCGUCGAAGGACCUCGAGUCUUCUAGAAUGAGUCAAUGUGUCUCCCCCAAUGGCCCAAUUCUACAAAUUUCGGGUUCAUUGGUAUAGAUUCACACACUCGAUUGUUUCUUAUUGGUUCGCGAAGAGAACUCCACUUUAUAGGUUGAAAAAUUUUUAAACCCCUGGGAAGAAUCCAAAAAUGAGUACGAAAGGGGAAACCCGAUGUUAUCCUUUUCAAGGGUGGAAAGAAACCCUAGCAUGAUGGAUUUCUCUGUAAAGAGGUAGAGGUUAGAGGCUGUUAGGGGGAUUAUUUUUCAAUCGGAGAGAGCCCUAAAAGAAACCUUAGAAGUCUCUCUACAAAAUAGUUGAUCAAAAAAAAUGAGGAUUUCUUUUAUCUCGUUUCUCCUUUUCUUUCCCUUUUGAGUUGGUAGUUUUAAAAGUAAAGGUGGGUUUAAAAUAUUUUCAGAAAAGCUGAGGGUUGAAAAUAUUUAGUUUGAAAAUAUGGGGGGGUUUCAAAAUCUCUAAGAGGAAAAGAAAAGGGACACUCUGUUGGUGGUCGACGUCGCGAGAUUUCGAUAGCGACAAGUUUGCUAAUAGCUCGUUGUUCUAUUUGCUUCGCCAAAAGAGUUGAUCAAAUAUUAAUGGUCAUUACUUUCUUGCUUUGCAUAAACCCGCUUGAGAGUCCAAACGGACUUUUUCCCUUGCGUUUCGCAGUGGGCCAUGGAGGCCCAUCCUUUAGGAGACUUUGAAAAGCAAAUUGCAUGGCAUACAGAUACAAGAAGUCGAAAGAGGAAUAAUGGGUUAAAAUCCCAUACUUAAAGCGACGAUGAAGCCCGAGCCUCAUUUCUGUUUCUUUAUUUAAUGUCAUUAUCUACCUAUUGUUGUCAUUUUAUUAUUAUUUAUUUCCUCUUUUUUCUGUCAUUAUUCAUUCAUUUAGGCCUCGAAGCCGAAUUUGUAUUUAAUAUAGGUGAAGUGAGACUCGAGCUAAAGCCUCGCAAACAAAGAAUUAGGGUAGGUGAAAAUGGGUCGAAAACCAAACUAGAUUAGGACAGGGUCGAUGGUUUGGGCUUAAAAUCCCAAAUCACCACUUCCCCGCUUUUCCCCUUUUCCUUUCAUUUACUUGUUUACUUAUCUCUUUGCGAACCUA
Capsicum annuum is the source of this 1497-nucleotide long non-coding RNA. RefSeq lists it as uncharacterized. The record is from RefSeq and is a predicted model, not a curated record. NCBI's taxonomy places the organism in Eukaryota, Viridiplantae, Streptophyta, Magnoliopsida, Solanales, Solanaceae. The transcript is spliced from 2 exons.